AAUGAACGCUGGCGGCAUGCCUUACACAUGCAAGUCGAACGGCAGCAUGACCUAGCUUGCUUGGUUGAUGGCGAGUGGCGAACGGGUGAGUAAUGCAUCGGAACGUGCCUUUUAGUGGGGGAUAACGUAGCGAAAGUUACGCUAAUACCGCAUAUUCUCUGAGGAGGAAAGCAGGGGACCUUCGGGCCUUGCGCUAGAAGAGCGGCCGAUGUCGGAUUAGCUAGUUGGUGAGGUAAAGGCUCACCAAGGCAACGAUCCGUAGCGGGUCUGAGAGGAUGAUCCGCCACACUGGGACUGAGACACGGCCCAGACUCCUACGGGAGGCAGCAGUGGGGAAUUUUGGACAAUGGGCGCAAGCCUGAUCCAGCCAUGCCGCGUGAGUGAAGAAGGCCUUCGGGUUGUAAAGCUCUUUCGGCUGGGAAGAAAUCGCACCCUCUAAUACAGGGUGUGGAUGACGGUACCAGCAUAAGAAGCACCGGCUAACUACGUG
RNAcentral lists this ribosomal RNA (490 nucleotides) under uncultured bacterium. RNAcentral describes it as "partial 16S ribosomal RNA". It matches the Rfam family "Bacterial small subunit ribosomal RNA", at positions 29 to 507 of the family's 1533-position model. The record is from RNAcentral.